UAAUACGUAGGGUGCGAGCGUUGUCCGGAAUUAUUGGGCGUAAAGGGCUCGUAGGCGGUUUGUCGCGUCGGGAGUGAAAACACACAGCUUAACUGUGUGCUUGCUUUCGAUACGGGCAGACUUGAGGCAUGCAGGGGAGAACGGAAUUUCUGGUGUAGCGGUGAAAUGCGCAGAUAUCAGAAGGAACACCGGUGGCGAAGGCGGUUCUCUGGGCAUGUUCUGACGCUGAGGAGCGAAAGUGUGGGGAGCGAACAGG
RNAcentral lists this ribosomal RNA (256 nucleotides) under uncultured bacterium. RNAcentral's name for it is "partial 16S ribosomal RNA". It matches the Rfam family "Bacterial small subunit ribosomal RNA", at positions 521 to 776 of the family's 1533-position model. The record is from RNAcentral.